GACGGAGGAUGCAAGUGUUAUCCGGAAUCACUGGGCGUAAAGCGUCUGUAGGUGGUUCGAAAAGUCCACUGUUAAAAAUUGAGGCUUAACUUCAAAAGAUGCCGUGGAAACUUUCAAACUAGAGUAUGGUAGGGGUAGAGGGAAUUUCCGGUGGAGCGGUGAAAUGCGUAGAGAUCGGAAAGAACACCAACGGCGAAAGCACUCUGCUGGGCCGACACUGACACUGAGAGACGAAAGCUAGGGGAGCGAAUGGG
Molecule: ribosomal RNA, 254 nt
Filed under: uncultured bacterium
Lineage: Bacteria
Description: partial 16S ribosomal RNA
Rfam family: Bacterial small subunit ribosomal RNA
Source: RNAcentral